UACGUAGGGGGCUAGCGUUGUCCGGAUUUAUUGGGCGUAAAGCGUGCGCAGGCGGCUUCGCAAGUCAGACGUGAAAUCCCCGGGCUUAACCUGGGAAUGGCGUUUGAAACUACGGAGCUGGAGUGUGGCAGAGGGAGGUAGAAUUCCACGUGUAGCGGUGAAAUGCGUAGAUAUGUGGAGGAAUACCGAUGGCGAAGGCAGCCUCCUGGGCCAACACUGACGCUCAUGCACGAAAGCGUGGGGAGCAAACAGG
RNAcentral lists this ribosomal RNA (253 nucleotides) under uncultured bacterium. Its description in RNAcentral is "partial 16S ribosomal RNA". It matches the Rfam family "Bacterial small subunit ribosomal RNA", at positions 524 to 776 of the family's 1533-position model. The record is from RNAcentral.